RNAcentral lists this ribosomal RNA (301 nucleotides) under uncultured bacterium. RNAcentral describes it as "partial 16S ribosomal RNA". It matches the Rfam family "Bacterial small subunit ribosomal RNA", at positions 509 to 807 of the family's 1533-position model. The record is from RNAcentral.
CAGCCGCCGCGGUAAUACGGAGGGGGCUAGCGUUGUUCGGAAUCACUGGGCGUAAAGGGUGCGUAGGCGGGUUUUUAAGUCAGAGGUGAAAUCCUGGAGCUCAACUCCAGAACUGCCUUUGAUACUGAAAGUCUUGAGUAUGGGAGAGGUGAGUGGAACUGCGAGUGUAGAGGUGAAAUUCGUAGAUAUUCGCAAGAACACCAGUGGCGAAGGCGGCCCCCUGGACAAAGACUGACGCUCAGGUGCGAAAGCGUGGGGAGCAAACAGGAUUAGAUACCCCCGUAGUCCCUGUCUCUUAUAC